This is a long non-coding RNA of Oryzias melastigma (Indian medaka), 561 nucleotides long. RefSeq lists it as uncharacterized. The transcript is spliced from 3 exons. The record is from RefSeq and is a predicted model, not a curated record. NCBI's taxonomy places the organism in Eukaryota, Metazoa, Chordata, Actinopteri, Beloniformes, Adrianichthyidae.
CAGAUGGUAGUCUGUACAUCAAGAAGCCGAGGGUUUAUCAACAGAAAAACUGGAAGAGUGUCCAGCAGCAGCUGGGGAGGAAUGAUGGAGGGAGGGGAACUGUAGGAGGCCUGCUGCCAUGCUGAUGUAUUGCUGUCAGCAGGUCUGACCUUUGGUGUGUUGCCUCUCUACCAGCGAUAAAUCAACAAGAGAGAAGCUCCAAUGUGACUAUUGUAAACAUUUUAGGAAAUUUGUCAAAAUUCCCUUGAAGUAUGUUGCCAUGGCAGCGGAGCAACGACCAGGACAUUAAAAAAGCAGCUUUUAUCCACCCAGUGUAUUUCCCUAAAAUGAAAAUCGCCUGCAGCCAGAGAAAGACAAACCCAUGAAGACUCUGAAAUCAAGCUGAUUUCAGGACAUUUCCUCUUGUUGGUGCCCUCCACUCGUUUGUUAGACUCAGCUUGGAGAAAACAGGCCGGCAAACCACAAAGCGGUCAGCACAUUUGUCAUGCAAGCUGUCAAGGUGAUGGAUGGACAAACGCAAGGACCUACCCAUUUUUCAUGGUCAGCACUCUAGUAACAAAC